This 477-nucleotide ribosomal RNA is filed under the name uncultured bacterium. RNAcentral's name for it is "partial 16S ribosomal RNA". It matches the Rfam family "Bacterial small subunit ribosomal RNA", at positions 899 to 1397 of the family's 1533-position model. The record is from RNAcentral.
ACUCAAAUGAAUAGACGGGGGCCCGCACAAGCAGCGGAGCGUGUGGUUUAAUUCGACGCAACACGAAGCACCUUACCCAGACUUGACUUGCAGCUGCAAGGUGGUGAAAGCCACCCGCCUUCGAGGGUGCUGCACCGGUGCUGCAUGGCUGUCGUCAGCUCGUGUCGUGAGAUGUUGGGUUAAGUCCCGCAACGAGCGCAACCCUUGCCGUCAGUUAUAGGUGUCUGACGGGACUGCCCUUCGGGGAGGAAGGCGGGGAUGACGUCAAGUCCGCAUGGCCCUAACGUCUGGGGCUACACACACGCUACAAUGGCGCCGACAGUGCGCAGCGACCGAGUAAUCGGAAGCGAAUCGCCAAACGGCGCCCCAGUGCAGAUCGGGGGCUGCAACUCGCCCCCGUGAAGGCGGAGUUGCUAGUAACCGCGUAUCAGCGAUGGCGCGGUGAAUACGUACCCGGGCCUUGCACACACCGCCCGU